UGAUGAGGAUGAUAAUGAUAAUGAUAGUGAUGAUGAUGAUGGUAGUCAUGAUGAGGCAAGAAUAAUCAUUUAAAAAUAUCAUCAUCAUCAUCAUCAUCAUCAUCAUCAUCAUAA
Molecule: microRNA precursor, 114 nt
Filed under: Bigelowiella natans CCMP2755
Lineage: Eukaryota; Cercozoa; Chlorarachniophyceae
Description: miRNA EPrBNAG00000013446
Source: RNAcentral